CUGCAGUGCUCUUCUCUGUUACAAGACAUUGAGGCAAGAAGUGUGUUAACUACGUAGAAGUGCUGUCAGGGAGUUAUCCUGAGAGGAAGGGCAACACCUGGAAAUGGUGAACCCACAAGAACAGAGAGCGAGGUCUGGCUGUUCUCUGUCCUAGCAGUAAGAAGCUACUGCAGCAGACAGGCUACAUGUCGGAGUAUCGGUUCCUUGAAAGGAAAAGGAACUCAUGCAUGUAAAUACCAAGAAGCUCUAAAUUGGGAUUGGUGCUCUUCUGCAUUCAAGGUAGGAUUUUGCAGCUGUUAACUUCUUUCACAAAUAGAAUGCAACAAAAUGGAAGUGCAGACAUAAACACGUGAGCUUUCCUGUUCUGCUAAAUUCUCUGGUGACUGGUGCUGCCAGUUAUCUCACGAUAGCAGGAAAUGUGGAGACCUGAUAUUACAACUUUUAUAAUAUAUCUGCUUCCAUUUCUGUGCUUAUAUUAAAGUUUAGUGUUUUGUGUAUGUAUGACUGAAAUGAAAGUUCAAACCUGUGACUCACUGUCAUGGAAUAGGUUACUGGAUUAUUAAUACUUUAACAUUUUCCUUUGGCAAAUAUGAAAGCAAUUGUAACUAAGUAUAGGACUUAGAAGAAAUAAACUAUUUCUAGAUACAAG
This 649-nucleotide long non-coding RNA is filed under the name Anser brachyrhynchus (Pink-footed goose). RNAcentral describes it as "lncRNA (ENSABRG00000019725.1)". Lineage: Eukaryota; Metazoa; Chordata; Aves; Anseriformes; Anatidae. The record is from RNAcentral.